Molecule: transfer RNA, 77 nt
Filed under: uncultured Desulfobacterium sp.
Lineage: Bacteria; Pseudomonadati; Thermodesulfobacteriota; Desulfobacteria; Desulfobacterales; Desulfobacteriaceae
Description: transfer RNA-Arg(TCG)
Rfam family: tRNA
About the family: Transfer RNA (tRNA) molecules are approximately 80 nucleotides in length. Their secondary structure includes four short double-helical elements and three loops (D, anti-codon, and T loops).
Source: RNAcentral
GCGCCCGUAGCUCAGCUGGAUAGAGCGCCGGACUUCGAAUCCGUAGGCCGCAGGUUCGAAUCCUGCCGGGCGCGCUU